AUAUUAAUCCCUUGAAUUGAGGCAAAACUGAACCAAAGGAGACAGAAAGUGACUUAUAGGUGUCAGCAUUGAAGAGACAGGAUUGACCCAACAAAUGUAUGUUAAUUGGAUGGUAAUUAAGACGGGGAACAAUUGGGUCAUUAUAGUAUUUCCACUCAGGUUCUUUAUACAGCAGACCCUGGGUAGCAUAUUACCUGCCCACCAAAAAAUUCUCUAGGCCUGGGGUUGCAAAUUCUUUUUUUAAAGCACCAGAUAGUAAAUAUUUUAAGCUUUAUGGGUCAGAUGGUUUCUGUUGCACUUAAGUCUGUUGCUGCAUGAAAGCAACUGAAGAAAAACACAUUAAUAAAGGAACAUGGCUGUGUUUCAAUAAAGCCUUAUUUAUGAAGACUCAAAUUUGAAUUUCAUAUAUUUUCACAUAUCACAAAAUAUUAGAAAAAUGUUUUUCAGCCAUUUAAUAAUAUAAAACCCAUCUUUAGAUCAUAGCUAUAUAAUAGCAUGCACUAAGCUGGAUUUUGGCCCAUGAGCUCUUGUUUUCUGGCCCCUGUUUUAGGAAAUGAAUGACUUAUCAGUUAUGAUGCAGAAAGCUUAGCAGUACUGAAAUAGAUGUUCUCUAGGACAAUGCUCUUGGUGACACUGUCUUGUUUUGUAGGUGACACUGAUGAUAAAAAUCCGUUCAAGAAUUUAGAUGUGACAUCUGCAGCAGGUUCAAAUCUCUCAGCUAUAAGACAAACUGGAUACUUCAUAAGAAUUGUCAUCUAUUAUGCACAGAGAGCCAAAAUCCGUUACUGAGAUUGUCUGGGUGAGCUGCCUGCUGGGUCCAGUGAUGCAGUAGUAGACAAAGAAGUUGAAAGAGAAGUCUGGCAUAUUCUGUGGAUGACUGGCAGAGUGUGACACCAAUAUGGCAUCAGGCCCUACUAUGAUUCCAAGGACUUUAUGACAAAAUAAAAAAGAAAAAAAAUAUUUGUAAUAGAGCUUGGUGUGAUUGAAGUAAAUAUGAUCUUUAUUUUGGGAAUGUGUACUGCAUUAUCAUUCCAUAAUGAUAUAUAGUAAUUGCCUUGUUAAUCAAACUUUAAACAUUCUAUCUUUAUUCACAAAACUUAUGUAGUUAUUACCUUUUCUAAUUUGGUUCUCUAACUCUAAGGAAAUUCGGUGAAAAAUAACAACUGUUUACUAAGUAGGUUAAUUUAAGGACAAUUAUUUUCACUUGGAAAUUUUUGUUUGGGAUUCUUGAAACUGUGCUCUCAUGUACAGCAUUUAAAAUAUUUCUAUUUGUGAAAAGCUACUUGGAUUUUCUUAGAACCAUCUUUUUGAGUAGACUCCUUUACUCAAUAGUAAAUAGAAAAUAAUAAUGUAGAGUACUAGUAUAUAUAGAAUGUUGAAUUUCUAAAUUGUUUCAGACCUAUUAAUUAUAUACACUUAGAAAAUUUAGCAAGCAGGUAUGAUUAGAAUAAACUUGUGUAUUUUUUUUAGCUAUUGAACCAUAAAACUGGAACAUCAAAGUAGUUCUGAAUCAAAUUGGUGUUUUAUUUGGUUAAUAAUCUUUUUUUUUCUUGGUAUGUAUCAAUUUAUACCAUUAAUAGAGGAUUUGAAAGUAGCACUGGGAAAUGAAGUGGGUAGAUUCUCCCAAAGUUGGAUUCCAUUUUUACCCUCAGUGAAUUGUCAACUUUUUUUUUUUAAAUUUAUUUUUUUAAUGUUAGUAUUCAACAGAAGCUCUGACAGUCUAGGAUAUAAAACAUUUUAUUUAACUUGUACAGCUCAUUUACAAAUGAAGCUUCCCUCGUGACUUAUCUUGAAAUCCUUAUUCAAAGCAUAUACUAUUUAAUUUGUCAGUAUGCCAUUGCCUGACUGCAUGUUUUUGGUCAAGAGUGUAGUGCCACUAACAUAGCCAUCCUGCUAGGAAGAUGAUCUGAAGGUUGCUGGACAGUAGAAUUUACACACUUCUAAUUUACAAGUCAGAUUAGGGUCAUAAUCAUAUGAUAGUUUUAUGUGGAAUUGAUUUCAUGGUUUUUUAAGCUAUUUUUUGUUAUUGCAGCAAUGCCAUUAACUGAAAUGCAGUUUUAUUGUAGCAUGAGAGUACCUCAAACUCUUUUGAAUUUGGAAGAAGAGGGUUGUUGGUAUAGAUGCUUAAAUCCUAAAACUCAGGGAUUUUGUGUACCUGGGUAUGUAUGUAUACACAUAUAUGUGGAUGUGUGGGUUAUCAAACAUAAGGUCUUGUGUAUACUAGAUGGGUGCUCUACCUCUGAGCUAUGUCCUCUGUUCAUAACCCAAGGAGUUUGAAUGAGAAUGUCUCUUAUUGUACAUAAUUUAAUUGCCCAAUGGAUUGAUUUGAGGUUGGUGUGAUAAAUAUUUGAAAAUAUAUGGUAUUUUGAAAUGUAAGUUAUUUUGGAAGGACCAUUUGUCUGUGUGUAUGUGUGUGUUUAAAUCAGCAAUCAAGGGCUGGGGAUGUAGUUCAGUGGUAGAGUGAAUGCCUAACAUGUAUGAGACCUUGGGUUUGAUCCUCAUCAUUGUAAAUAUAAAUAAAAUAGCAAUCACCUUUUUGCCUUAUAGAUAAGAUAUAUUUAGUAAGAGAUGUGAAUUUAGUGUUAAUAGCUCAUUGAAAUCUGGACGUCCCUUGUGGUUUUUGGAGGCUUAGUGUAAGGGGCAAGGGAUAAUAAAUAGAGCACUGUAGUUUACAGUUACUUUUUCUUUUCAAAAUAAGGUAACAUAGAAUAGUACAUAAAUACAAUUUAAUGGGUUAUAGUUAUUCUCAAUUUACCUGUCCAGAUUGAAAUUGAGAACCAUCUCAUAAUAGCAUUAAGAAGUAUUCAUAGCAGAAUGACUAGUGCUAUUCAAUUUGAGUGUUCUAUGUUUAGUUGCAGAAAAACAUCUGUGUUAAAUUUUUGCCAUGGUUCUUGAGCCAUUAAUUGAUUUGUUAAAUAUAGUCAAGAAAAUAAGAAAAUCCGAGUGUUUAAAACUGGGUUUGUAUCAGCAGUCAAAAGAACAUUUGGUUUUAUCCUCACCUACUUUCUUAUGUGGUAGACUCAUGAGUUACUUUCUGAGAUGACAAAACAUUGGGAUGAGGAGGAUGUUAAGAAUUCAUCAGUUAUGUCCUUUUUUCUAUCAACUAUGUUUCACAAAGGAUUUAUUUAGUUAUGACAUUUUUAGGUUAUGAUGAUUUACAUGGACUUCAAGAAGAUUUGGAGAAAAGUUAAUGUAAGGUAAGGGUAUAGUAGGUAUAUAUUACUGUGUUUGUUUUAGUAGAGCAGUGAUUUUAGGUUGAUACUUAUACCAUCUUUGCCUCUAACUUCAUGGUCUCUGAUUAUAGCUGCUUUUUCUUCAGGAGAAUGGGAGGUAAUUUUUUGAAUUUCAGACAUUGGGAAAUUAGUGGAAUGGAGUGAUUUGUUACUGUGGACUGUUUAUUGAAGCUCUGCAACCAGACAUUGAGUAAGGUACUUUACAUAAGUUAUUUCUAGUUCUGUCUACACCCUUGAAAGCGUAUAGAAUUAUCUCCAUUUCAUGAUGAGGAUACUAGGAGUUAAAUGGUAUAUCUUUGAAUAAAUAUUGAAAUAGUGUCCUAUAGCUAGUGAUUCAUUUUGGGAAAAGUUUUUUUUUGUAUCUGGAGAAUGUUUGAUGAAUUAAGAAAUAAAAAUGUAAUCUAAAAAACCAGCAUAUACUAUGGGAAAAUUUCAAGAUUUAACAGCUUUUAACAUGAAUAACUUCAUGUUGGGAUAGAAUGAUGUUGGAGCCUCCUUGAAAACCUUGAUGUGGUACAUUUGCCAAUGAUGAAUCUGGUCUCUAGAAUUAUCUAUUGGGUUGCCUUUGAUAUUAGUAUAGUAUUAUGAUAUAUAACUGUACUUCCGGGUUUAAAUAAUGUCUAGGUAGAAAAUUCAUAUUUAAAGGGUGAGUGAUAAUGAGCUAUUAUAGAAACUGAUGCAUAUCAUAAGUUGAGUUGGAUCACCUCUAAAUAGAAUGUUUAGAGAAAGUAUUUGCAAGUAUGUUUGAAGAAGUGAUGAAAGAAAAUUAAACUAUAUACCCCAGUGAAUUCAGUCUAUUUGAUCAGUUUCCUAAUUCAGUUUAGUUGAACAAAGUUGGAUUUGAGUUGAAGGAAGCUUUAGUGAGCGUUUAGAACAGAAUAAGUAUGGUACUGCACUAAGGCAUUUCAUGGAAAGCAAAGAUGACUGAGACAUUUGCUGUCUCAGGGAAUGGCAUUAGCAUAGACAACUGAAGGUAAUCCAUGACAGAAUAACAUGGGUGCUCUCCAUUUUUAUGUGGCAGUACUGUGGGAAUGUGAAAAAUGUGGUAUGUAUAACUGGGGUUCAGGGUAGGCUAUGUGGAGGAGGCCAGGUUUGGGCUGGAUCUUGAAAGAAGAGAAGGAUAUCAAGUAGGAAGAAGGGUAUUCUAUCCUAAAAUAAGGGGUAAUCAUAGGCAUGGAAUUAGGAAUAAAUAGAUGGCUGGGAAGCAGUAAUACUUAUACUGAACAGAUACAAAUUUUAGAAAAUGGUUUCAACUACCAUUUAAGCAUACUUGCCCACAUUAUAAUUCCAGUAGAGGCUUGACAUAUUUGCUUGUUAUUUGUACGUUUCUUUGGUAAUGCACAAAGUAUCUUUCUUUGUGAUAUAUGGUGUGCAUUAUCAAGGUGGAAAUGUUACUCACUUAAGAGCCUGGAGGGUUAUAAGCAUCAAAAUCAAACUUCUAAGUCUAAUCACAAAGUCUAUUACUUGCCUUGAUUUAAAACAGUAAAAUAUAGAGAUGAUGAUGAUUUUUACAUAUGAACCUAAGAAGCAUUUGGCAAUGCAAUUAGUUUCAUAACAAGUGAUUGUUUUUUAAAGCCUUCCCAGAAUAAGAAUGAGUAUCUUGAUGCUAGUGUCACUUUUAAAUAGCUGUAGCUCCAGGAAUGUGUCUGUUCACAUUAUUAUCUUAAAUAUACACCUUAUCUAUCCAUAUUGCUGUACUUCAAAUGUGAAAGUAAAAAUAAAGGUGUGAAGUGCCUAGCAGACUUGUAUGGAUUUAUGUAAAUCAGAAAACACAAAAAUCCAUUAGUCUCAGUGCUGAAGCCUUGAUGUAUUUAAGUAUGAAAUAUUUCCUUAAAGUUACACACAAACACACACACACACACACACACACCCCAUAAUUUCUAGGGAUUUACUUAGCAAAAAAAAAAAUAUUUAUUUCACUGAACUCCAGACAUGGAUUCAACUGUCGUCUUAUUGCUCCAUAAGAUUAUUAAAGUUAUAUAAAUAUUUAAGUGCCCCAAAUUGAUCCUUUUACCCCAAUUUUUUCAUCUUUGGCCUUUCCCUUGUAAAUUAGUGGACAAUUAGUCUUUAUUUCUUCUUUCCCUUAGACAAACUCUUGGAGUCAUCACUGAUUUCUUUCUUUUCUUUUUAAUAAUUUUAGUUUAUUUUUUAGUGCGUUAUAGUUAUACAUAAUGGUGGGGUUCAUUUUGACAUAUUCAUAAAAGUAUAUAACAUAGUUUUUUCCAUUUUAUUACCCAUACUACCUGCUUCCCUUCUAUCCUCUCUCCUCCAGGUCCCCUUUCUCCACUCUACUGGUCUUUAUUUCUUCUUUUCCUUUUUUCUUCCUUCCUUCCUUGUCCACACUCUGUCAGUAGUUCAUGCUGACUCAUCAAAACACAUCUACAAUUUAAACCUGACCACCUGUCACCACCUUCGCUACUACCUUGUUUAAGCCACUAUCUCUUACUUGGGCUAUUUUAAUAGCCUCCUGACUGGCCUCUCAGCUUCUCAGAACCUGAAACCUAGUCCUCUAAUAUAGUACAAUAACCAGAAAAAUGAUACUAAAACAGAGGUAAAAUCUGUCACUCAAAACUUCAGUUGUUUCCUAUCUUAUGCAUUGUAAAAGCUAAAUCUUGUUAGAAGCCUGCCUAUAAAACUCUGUCUAGUGCACCUUCAUAACCUCAUUAUUUAGAUUUUCUUUGUUUGCUACCUUUCAUUCACAGCUGAAUUGUAUAUUGUUUCUUGAAUAAUUGUUCUGGGAUAUUAAGUUUACUGGUUCUUCUUCCUGAAGUGCUUUUACUAUUAGAUGGCCAUUCAGCUUAUUCUCUAGUCUUUCUUGAUAUGUUAAAUCCCUAGUGAGACCUUCCUUGAUCAUCUUACUUAAAAUGCCUCUCUCCUUCCUACUUCUUUUUCUUGUUUUCACUUCCCCAAAUUCACUGACUGUAUAUUCCAUCUUACUCUUUUGUGGUCUUUUUCUGAUAUGAUGAAACCUUGAUGACUGCAAGGAAUUUUUCCCAAUUUAUUUAAUAUUGGACCACUAAACCUAUUCCCAUACAUAUUUGUUACUUAAUACAUAAUUGACUGAAUGAAUAAAAGAUAUAACUUACUUCAUAGAAGUUAAACCUGUGGUAAAAACCUAAUUUGUCUCCUGUUGACAUCUUUGGGGAAUGAUAUUUCCAAAUGCCUGAGUGUUACUUCUUCAAAAAUUUUAAAUAAUAUAUAUUUGUGUAAUUUGCAUAUAAUAUACUUACUUUAAGCAUGGAGGUCCAUGAAUUUUGGCAAAUAUACACUGUUAUGUAAUAUUUUUGUUCCAAUUAAAAGGUAUAGAAUAUUUCUGUCACUUCAAAAAAUUCCCAUCUCUCCCGUCACUUCUUUCCUCAUCCCCAUCUUUAGGCAACUAUUGAUCUGACUUUUUGUCAUUGUAAAUUUGUUUUACUUGCUCUAGAGUUUCAUAUAAACAGACUUAUACAUUAUAUGUUUUUUCAGUGUGCUAUUUUUGAGGCUAUUAUUAGGUGUCAUAUUAAUUUGUUUUCAUUACAGAAUAGUGUGCCUUUUUUAAUAAAUGUGCCACAAUUUGCUUAUCAGUUUAUUUGUUAUGGACAUUUGAAGUGUUUCCAUUUUUUUGCCUAUAAGUAAUAAUGCCACCCUGAGUGUUCACAUAUGAGUCUUUGUGUAAAUAUGCUUUGUCAUAUGGUAAGUGCAUGUUUAACUUUGAAAGAAAUUUCCCCUCUGUGAUCAUACCAUAUUCACUACCAAUGUCUGAAAUUCUAGUUCCUAAACAUUCUAGCUGGUACUUACCAUAAUUCUUUUAAAUCCAGACAUUCUGUUGAGUGUGUAGUCAUAUAUCUUAUUGUUUUAAUUUUCAUUUAUUAAUUACUUGAAUUACUUGAUUUCCAGUGAUGCUGAUAUUUUCUGUUUUUUUUUGUUGUUGUUGUUGUGGGGAGAUGCUGGGGUUGAAGCCAGGGUUGUUUCAGGUCAUGCGCAUGAUCUUUCCAUUUACUUUUUGGCAAUUGUUUAUCUUUUGUGAAAUGUUUGAUCAAAUCUUGUGUUCAUUUGAGGAAAAAUUGAAUUAUUCAUUGUCAUUCAGUUACAGAGUUCUUUAUAUAUUUGUAUUCAAAUCCUUGUCAGAUGUAUCUUUUCCUGGUCUGUAGAUAUCCUUUUUCUUUUAUUGAUGGUCCAAUUUGAGGAGCAGAGGUUUUCAAAUUUAAGUCUAGUUUAUUAAUAUUUUCUUUUGUGGUCUGUCUUCCUUCCCUCUCUCUCUUUCUUCCUUGAACUCUUUGACUCCUGGUUGUAAGGAUUUUCUCAUUUUCUCUAAUCAUUUUACAGUUUAAGCUUUUUCAUUAGGUCUUUGGUCCAUUUUGAGUAAAUUUUUGUAUACAUGUGGGGUAAAGAUUAAGGUUCACUUUUCUGUCUCUCCUUGUUCAAGGUCCACUUGUUGAAAAAAACUAUCUUUUCUCCUUUAAGUUAUCUUUAAAUGUUUGUUAUAAAUCAACUAAUUGUAUAUGUGUAGUACUUUUCGUAGAUUGUAUUAUAUUGAUCUAUAUGUGUUUCCCGUCAACAUAUUGUUUCAUAGUAAGUCUUGAAAUCACAUAGUGUAAAUUCUUUAACUUCGUUUCUCUUUUUUCAAAUUGUAUUGAGUAUUUCUUUUUCAUUUUCAUAUCAAUUAUAGAUUUGGCUUAUAAUUUUAUGCAAAGUGUCUGUAGGAUUUUAAUUGCCACUGUAUUGAAUUCUGUAGAUCAAUUAGGGAAGCAUUAAUCUCUAGACUACUGUUCUAUUUCAAUCCAUGAACACAAUAUAGCUCCAUUUAUUUAGUUAUUCUUUAGUUUCUCUAAGCAGUAGUUUUCAGUGUGUUGGUUUUUUAAAAUUUAUCCUAAGUGAAUAGGAUAUGAAUUAGAUUUUGAAUGUUUUUGAAAAUGCCAUUUUUUCAAAACAAAAUUUACAAUUUGUAAUGGUUAUUAUUUAGGAGUAGACUUAAUUUUUACAUGUUGAACUUGUAUCCUGCUACCUUGCUAUUUCAUCCAUUUAUGCUUUUAACUUUUGUGAAUUCUUUAGGUUUUGCUUUGUAUAUGAUCCUGUUAAUCACAAAUAAAGAUAAUUUUAUGUCUUCCUUUACAGUUUUCAUGUCUUCUAUUUCUCUUUCUUUAUUUUAUUGACUUAAACCUCAUUGCAGGGUUAAAUAGGAAUAAUUAGAGUGAACAUCUUUGUCUAGUUUAUGAUUCAGGGUAAAACUAUUUAGAUUUUCACUAAUAUGUAUGACAUUGGCUGUACAUAUUUUAUAGGUGCCCAAUCAAGGAGAGAAACUUCCCUUUUAUACUUUAUACUGAGAGCUUUUAUUGUAAAUUAGUGUUAAAUUUUCCCAGGGGC
RNAcentral lists this long non-coding RNA (8576 nucleotides) under Marmota monax (woodchuck). Lineage: Eukaryota; Metazoa; Chordata; Mammalia; Rodentia; Sciuridae. The record is from RNAcentral.